AGCUCCAAUAACGUAUAUUAAAGUUGUUGCGGUUAAAAAGCUCGUAGUUGGAUUUCUGUUGGGAGUGAUCGGUCCCCACUCUGUGGGCGUAUCUGACUCGCUUUCGGCAUCCUCCAGUGGCACGUUUCUGUCCUUCAUUGGAUGGAGCGGGACGCUGGACUUUUACUUUGAGGAAAUUCGAGUGUUUACGGCAGGCAAUCGCCCUGAAGAUAUUAGCAUGGAAUAAUAAUAUAGGGCCUUGGUUCUAUUUUAUUGGUUUCUAGAGCUGAGGUA
RNAcentral lists this ribosomal RNA (273 nucleotides) under uncultured eukaryote. Its description in RNAcentral is "partial small subunit ribosomal RNA". It matches the Rfam family "Eukaryotic small subunit ribosomal RNA", at positions 587 to 864 of the family's 1831-position model. The record is from RNAcentral.